Pogonomyrmex barbatus (red harvester ant) is the source of this 2465-nucleotide RNA transcript. RefSeq lists it as uncharacterized. The record is from RefSeq and is a predicted model, not a curated record. Lineage: Eukaryota; Metazoa; Arthropoda; Insecta; Hymenoptera; Formicidae.
UAAUUAUAAUCUGGAAGCUGUUUAACAAUAAUUAAACUGAAAUAAUUAUGUAAUAAAUACUAGUGCUGAAGAAUAUGAUAAGAUAGUUCCAACUUUUCUGUUGUGUCGAGUGACUAGUGUUUUCGGUUUUCAAACACAAACUUGGCAUAUUAAUCUAUCUUCUUCUCAGGACAUACAUAAGUAACUAAACUAUAUCACAAAUAUAAAGUGUGGUAGAGAUUAGUCAAAGAAAAAACAUACGGGAUCGCGAGUAUAUGUGUUAUAAAUCAUAUUUCGAAGAUGAAGUCCAGAGACUUCAAUAGAUUUAUUGUGUAAAACAGAAUAUUACUUGGUUAUCAUCGCACUAACGGAUCUGCUUAUUCACAAAGUCGGCUAUAUUCGUAACGUGGAUAGCGCGUGACGCAUGCUGGCGAUGCUAGAGCGUUCUGUUCCCCACUCUUGAAUUCGAUCUAUCCUCCCCACCACGUAUAUAUUCGAUCCCCUACUGACGGUAAUGCAACGUACCGGACACGCGACAAAGAUGGGAAGAUUCGCGUGUACUCCAGCUCGAGCAAAACGGAACACGUGCCGCCGCGGUGGGGGCGGAGGAGGAGCGAGAAUUGCGGAGGGGUAGGGGAUAUCUAUUCACGACGAGAGGGGCAACUGACUACUCUCACCCUCGUGAUUACCACACCCCUUCUACCAACCAGUGGUGCGCGUUUUCUCCCACAUAGCGGCGCUAACCGACGGGAUCUUUGUUACUUGCCACGCUCGAACGGCGUUUCGGUCGUGAGUUUGGAUGCUGGUGCCGCCCAGCGGCGAUCGCGCGAAACUCCAAGGUCGUUGGGGUGGUGGAAAUAGAAUAGGUGGUGGGAUAGAAUGACGCGCCGAGAGAGGAAACCCCGUGCCCGGGGUAGGGUGAACGAAAGGGAACCUGGUGGGGCGAAUCCAGAGAACGUAUCCGACGGGGACAUGCUGCUCUCAGGACGCGCAGAACAUCAGAGUGGGUCGAGAAGGACGGGUCCUCUUUCUCUCUCCCUCUCUUUUUCUCCUUCUCCCUCUUUCUUUCGUCGCCUAUCGUUCUGCCUUUAUUUCUUUCUCACUUCCACGCUCCUCGUGGAGAGGCAGAGGAACAGAGCUCGAUCGGCGGGGCGAGAGCCGGCUUACUACGCGGCGAAACGCUACCACGGUGCUCAGUCUUCAGCGAUCAAACCGCCAGGCAGUGUGGACCUUCCCGAGUAGUCUCUGCUACUCUCUUCCUUCUCGUCUUUUUUCUGAUCGGCAGUCACGACAAUCGGCAGAUAACAUUAAAAAAACCGCAGCAGCUAUUCCUAUUAUUGGUUGAUUCAACGGUUUUCGAGCAGUUUUCGACUUGGCAGAUUUCAGUUAAACCAAGACAUAUGUCAAGAAGAAUUUAAGAAGAUUGGAAGAUGAUCAACGGUUUCGGUGCGAAGUGUGAAGAUACUCCGGAUGAGUUUCCAGAGUAACCCGUACAUUGAUCUUCGAAACUUGGAGCAAGAAAUUAUUCGUAUUGGAAUAACAGUGAAGAAAAAAAUUAGAAAUUAAUGAUGAAGUCGGAGUUAACAGAUAUUUGGAACUUGGACUUGGAUUUGGACUUGUUGAAGAACGGUGUCUGUAAUCAAUUGUCAAUCAAUUCAAGUCAGAAGAUGAAGCCUUAUGAGAAUAUCUUCGAUUAUCGGCUCAGAGCUCAGAAGAGAGAAUUAAGAAAAUAGCUCAACACGAGAUUAAAUGAAUGUAAUAUUACACGUGAGAAAAGCAUUUCCAUAAAGUUAGUAGUUAAUCCAUAAAGAUAGGUGUACGCUAUCACGCCAAAGUGCAAUCGCCAUAAUAUCGAUUUAAGGAAAUGCCUAACUAAAGUUUGUGUUGCACCGUGUUAAACUAUGUGAUGCGCUAAACUGCAUGAGUCUUCCGUAUUUUCCGUAUUCAUAAACGUAAGUUUGUGAUAUGGAAAUGGUGUAUAAAAUCGAAAUUAAAUAUCCAUCUUCAAGUACCAAGUACCUCUGCUCGUGAAAAUUGUAAAGGCAUCAUAGGUGCAACGUAACAGUGAUCACACUGCGAAAUUCAUCGUAUUGUGUUAUCCAAUGACGAUAUAACUACGGAAAGGAAGAAGAACUCUAAAGAAGCGCUGCAAGUGCGGGAAAAAGUGUAAAAUGUAAAAAGUGGAGUAAAGUGGAAUAAAACUGCACCAUGCCGUUCGCAAGCAUAAGUUUCGAACGUAAUAUCCACUAUCCGUAUAAAUUGACGAACUUGUUACUCGGACGUGUGAUCCGCCGACGGCACUUAUGAUUCGAGACGUUCAAUGAUCAGAUAGAGACAAGUGAGAUUCAAAGCCUGGAAAGAAGAUUGCAGCUGCUCAGUGGCACCGAUUGGUAAGAUGCUCGGAGAACCGUUAAGCUAUAACGCGAUAACUUGUUUUAACAAAAUGCAAUAAAAAAAAAAACCUACAAUAAACGUGCUAUUUCGUA